Molecule: ribosomal RNA, 497 nt
Filed under: uncultured bacterium
Lineage: Bacteria
Description: partial 16S ribosomal RNA
Rfam family: Bacterial small subunit ribosomal RNA
Source: RNAcentral
GAUGAACGCUGGCGGCGUGCCUAAUACAUGCAAGUCGAGCGAACAGAUGAGGAGCUUGCUCCUCUGACGUUACCGCCGGACGGGUGCGUGACACGUGGAUAACCUCCAUCUAAGACUUGGAUCACUUCGAGAAACCGGAGCUAAUACCGGAUCAUAUAUUUCUCCGCAUGCUUCAUUAGUGACAGACGGUUUUGCUGUCACUAAUAGAUGGAUCCGCGCCUCAUUAGCUAGUUGGUAAGGUAACGGCCUACCAAGGCAACGAUGCGUAGCCGAUCUGAGAGGGUGAUCGGCCACUCUGGAACUGAGACACGGUCCAGACUCCUACGGGAGGCAGCAGUAGGGAAUCGUCCGCAAUGGGCGAAAGCCUGACGGAGCAACGCCGCGUUAGUGAUGAAGGUCUUCGGAUCGUAAAACUCUGUUAGUAGGGAAGAAGAAAUGUGUAAGGAACUAGUCACUUCUUGACGGUACCUAAUCAGAAAGCCACGGCUAACUACGUG